GUAGGUGGCAAGCGUUGUCCGGAAUUAUUGGGCGUAAAGCGCGCGCAGGCGGUUUUUUAAGUCUGAUGUGAAAGCCCACGGCUCAACCGUGGAGGGUCAUUGGAAACUGGAGAACUUGAGUACAGAAGAGGAAAGCGGAAUUCCACGUGUAGCGGUGAAAUGCGUAGAGAUGUGGAGGAACACCAGUGGCGAAGGCGGCUUUCUGGUCUGUAACUGACGCUGAGGCGCGAAAGCGUGGGGAGCAAACAGGAUUAGAUACCCUGGUAGUCCACGCCGUAAACGAUGAGUGCUAAGUGUUAGGGGGUUUCCCGCCCCCUUAGUGCUGCAGCUAACGCAUUAAGCACUCCGCCUGGGGGAGUACGGCCGCAAGGCUG
RNAcentral lists this ribosomal RNA (374 nucleotides) under uncultured organism. RNAcentral's name for it is "partial 16S ribosomal RNA". It matches the Rfam family "Bacterial small subunit ribosomal RNA", at positions 527 to 896 of the family's 1533-position model. The record is from RNAcentral.